GUCUAUAGCCAUACCACCCACCCUGAACACACCUGAUGAUUAUCUGAUCUCAGAAACAAAGCAGGAUCGGGCCUGGUUGGUACUUGGAUGGGAGACUGGUUAGGUAAACCAGUUGACAAACC
This 122-nucleotide ribosomal RNA is filed under the name Canis lupus dingo (dingo). Lineage: Eukaryota; Metazoa; Chordata; Mammalia; Carnivora; Canidae. The record is from RNAcentral.